Molecule: transfer RNA, 73 nt
Filed under: Agrilus planipennis (emerald ash borer)
Lineage: Eukaryota; Metazoa; Arthropoda; Insecta; Coleoptera; Buprestidae
Description: tRNA-Arg
Rfam family: tRNA
About the family: Transfer RNA (tRNA) molecules are approximately 80 nucleotides in length. Their secondary structure includes four short double-helical elements and three loops (D, anti-codon, and T loops). Further hydrogen bonds mediate the characteristic L-shaped molecular structure. tRNAs have two regions of fundamental functional importance: the anti-codon, which is responsible for specific mRNA codon recognition, and the 3' end, to which the tRNAs corresponding amino acid is attached (by aminoacyl-tRNA synthetases). tRNAs cope with the degeneracy of the genetic code in two manners: having more than one tRNA (with a specific anti-codon) for a particular amino acid; and 'wobble' base-pairing, i.e. permitting non-standard base-pairing at the 3rd anti-codon position.
Source: Rfam by way of RNAcentral
GCCUCUGUGGCCUAAUGGAUAAGGCAUCGGCCUUCUAAGCCGGGGAUUGUGGGUUCGACCCCCACCAGAGGUA